AGCAGCCGCGGUAAUUCCAGCUCCAAUAGCGUAUAUUAAAGUUGUUGCAGUUAAAAAGCUCGUAGUUGAAUUUCGGGGUUAGUAGGCUGGUCAUGCCACUGGUAUGUACUGGUCUCACUGAUUCCUCCUUCCUGAUGAACCGUAAUGCCAUUAAUUUGGUGUUGCGGGGAAACUGGACUGUUACUUUGAAAAGAUUAGAGUGUUUAAAGCAGGCUAACGCUUGAAUACAUUAGCAUGGAAUAAUGAAAUAGGACGUUCGAUCCUAUUUUGUUGGUUUCUAGGAUUGACGUAAUGAUUAAUAGGGAUAGUUGGGGGCAUUAGUAUUCAAUUGUCAGAGGUGAAAUUCUUGGAUUUAUUGAAGACUAACUACUGCGAAAGCAUUUGCCAAGGAUGUUUUCAUUAAUCAAGAACGAAAGUUAGGGGAUCGAAGACGAUCAGAUACCGUCGUAGUCUUAACCAUAAACUAUGCCGACUAGGGAUCGGAUGAUGUUAAUUUUUUAAUGACUCAUUCGGCGCCUUACG
RNAcentral lists this ribosomal RNA (522 nucleotides) under uncultured Glomus. RNAcentral describes it as "SSU rRNA". It matches the Rfam family "Eukaryotic small subunit ribosomal RNA", at positions 569 to 1092 of the family's 1831-position model. Lineage: Eukaryota; Fungi; Glomeromycota; Glomeromycetes; Glomerales; Glomeraceae. The record is from RNAcentral.